CCCUCCGACGGGAGGCAGCAGGGGAUAUUGCGCAAUGGGUGAAAGCCUGACGCAGCAACGCCGCGUGGGGGAUGAAGGCUUUCGGGUUGUAAACCCCUUUUCUCGGGGAAGAUAGUGACGGUACCCGAGGAAUAAGUCUCGGCUAACUACGUGCCAGCAGCCGCGGUAAGACGUAGGAGGCGAGCGUUAUCCGGAAUUAUUGGGCGUAAAGGGCGUGUAGGCGGCCUUCCAAGUCUUUGGUGAAAUCUCCCAGCUCAACUGGGAGGGUGUCAAAGAAACUGGAGGGCUUGAGGGCAGCAGAGGGGGGUGGAAUUCCCGGUGUAGCCCCGUCAAUUCAUUUGAGUUGAGCAACACCAGAGGAGAAGGCGGCCCCCUGGGCUGUUCCUGACGCUGAGUCUUGAAAGCGUGGGGCGCAACCUGCAGUCGCUACCCUGGUAGUCCACCCCACAAACGAUACUUUUUAUCGGGGGGUAUGGACCCCCUCCG
This 486-nucleotide ribosomal RNA is filed under the name uncultured bacterium. RNAcentral describes it as "bacterial SSU rRNA". It matches the Rfam family "Bacterial small subunit ribosomal RNA", at positions 334 to 843 of the family's 1533-position model. The record is from RNAcentral.